AUCGCGAAGCUUUGCAGCCCCCAGGCCGCGCGAGACGUUGCGAGGAGGUCCACUUAAAAACUGCCCUCCUCGGCGCCGCCGACCGGGCUCGGGGUGCCCCAGUCGCUCGCCGGCGCAGCCCCAGCAGGCGCGGCCCCUGCAGGGGCGGCUGCCGCCGCGGGCGCGGCACCGGUGCGCUGCGACUUCGUGAUCGCCGCGGUCGCCCAACGCAGGGACGGACCGACCUCGUCGAC
RNAcentral lists this unclassified non-coding RNA (233 nucleotides) under uncultured Ascomycota. RNAcentral describes it as "sequence contains ITS1". The record is from RNAcentral. Lineage: Eukaryota; Fungi; Ascomycota.